UAUUAUGGACUGAUAAUAUAAUUGCUAUUGCACACGAUCUUGCUGAGAUAUCUUCUAUUUGUCAAUUUCUUGAAAGAAAAUAUCAACUUUGAGGUUUAGGCAAGUUGGACGAGUACCUUGGCAUCAUGAUUGAUUGUGACAGAUUAGCUUGCACUCUGUAUUUUCAUCAGGGCCCUUACGCUCACAAGAUUAUUACGCAAUUUCAUCUUCAAGAUUGAAUUUCUUCUACGACCUCUU
This 237-nucleotide long non-coding RNA is filed under the name Physcomitrium patens. RNAcentral's name for it is "long non-coding RNA (PPAT_LNC003171)". The record is from RNAcentral. Lineage: Eukaryota; Viridiplantae; Streptophyta; Bryopsida; Funariales; Funariaceae.